This 587-nucleotide ribosomal RNA is filed under the name uncultured bacterium. RNAcentral describes it as "partial 16S ribosomal RNA". It matches the Rfam family "Bacterial small subunit ribosomal RNA", at positions 355 to 1375 of the family's 1533-position model. The record is from RNAcentral.
UGGGGAAUUUUGGACAAUGGGCGAAAGCCUGAUCCAGCAAUGCCGCGUGUGUGAAGAAGGCCUUCGGGUUGUAAAGCACUUUUGUCCGGAAAGAAAUCCUUGGCUCUAAUACAGUCGGGGGAUGACGGUACCGGAAGAAUAAGCACCGGCUAACUACGUGCCAGCAGCCGCGGUAAUACGUAGGGUGCAAGCGUUAAUCGGAAUUACUGGGCGUAAAGCGUGCGCAGGCGGUUUGCUAAGACCAAUGUGAAAUCCCCGGGCUCAACCUGGGAACUGCAUUGGUGACUGGCAGGCUAGAGUAUGGCAGAGGGGGGUAGAAUUCCACGUGUAGCAGUGAAAUGCGUAGAGAUGUGGAGGAAUACCGAUGGCGAAGGCAGCCCCCUGGGCAAUACUGACGCUCAUGCACGAAAAGCGUGGGGAGCAAAACAGGAUUAGAUACCCUGGUAGUCCACGCCCUAAAACGAUGUCAACUAGUUGUUGGGGAUUCAUUUCCUUAGUAACGUAGCUAACGCGUGAAGUUGACCGCCUGGGGAGUACGGUCGCAAGAUUAAAACUUAAAUGAAUUGACGGGGUCAUAGCUGUUUCCU